ACAAAGGCUCUUUUAAGAGCCACACACAGAUAAACUAAGAGCUCU
This is a non-coding RNA of Larimichthys crocea (large yellow croaker), 45 nucleotides long. The record is from Rfam. Lineage: Eukaryota; Metazoa; Chordata; Actinopteri; Sciaenidae.